Molecule: long non-coding RNA, 1184 nt
Organism: Glossina fuscipes
Lineage: Eukaryota; Metazoa; Arthropoda; Insecta; Diptera; Glossinidae
Exons: 5
Source: RefSeq, a predicted model, not a curated record
AAUCCAUCAUAUUCAUGUGAAAUUAUUUAAAAUGUCGUUUGUGAUAAAAACUAAUGGGAUUACUGAAACAGAAACAGCAGCUCGCAUUUUGCCAAGCAAAUAAAAUAAAUGGUUUAGCCCCAGUCACCUGUAUCGACGAAUGAUAUCACCCAAAGGAGGCCAUUCAAUUUACUGUGGAUUCCGAGGAAUCAAUUGAAUUGCAUCAAACGACUGUGCAUUUGGAAAUUAAAUUAGAAACAGUGUUUGCUGGAAGCCCUCUUAAUAGUUUACAACACGAUUUGAAAGCAACCAAGAAAGGGGACAAAGGUAAACUUUGCUCUUCCGAACUGAGUAUACGUUCAACUUGCAAAUAUUCUUUGCACAUACAAGACAGUCCAAUCGCAAUUUCGUUUAAGUAAUCGCGAGCCCGGCUCACUAAAUCCGCUCGUCUCUGAACUGCAAAUGAACGAUUUGUUCUGCGACACAAAAUCCAAGUAAGGUUGGUGUGGAUGUCGUACACAAGCUUCUGGCAAAACGCGUCUUUACGGCUUGUAAUUCUGGAGAAUUACCUAUUUGGAUAAAAGGAAUAUUUAUAGAUGAUCAGCCAUAUGCGGGUUAUGGUUUUAGUAUAGCUGAUUGUUUGUCGUUAAAAACGAACGGUAGACCUAGGAUUGAAAUUGUUUUCCAGCCGGAUUUCACUGUUACACGUAUUACGAAACCGUUUAUUUUACAACAUGUCAAUAGAUAACAUAAGAUAGAUUGCUUCUUCUGUGCGAUAAGACUUAACCACACAUCCCAAAAACGUUAAAAACACUGAAAUCAAUUGAACUGAACUGUGUGCUGCUUUGCUCCUUACAUCUAUCUAUAUGUGGACUUAUGAAAUGAACGGAGAAAACAAAUUCUUUCAUGCAUAGCAUCGUUAUUUCCGUAUACCUUUUAUGCGCGCUAAUGCUCCCGAAAACACUAAACGUGGUUUAUGGUACGCUCAUUUCGAUGGUCAAUGGAUAGCAAGACAAAUGGAUUACAUGCUGACAAAGCUCCUAUACUACUUACGGAAUGGAGCAGUUGAAUUUAAUCCGUUCUCUUUUAGUUAAAAAUUGGAAACAGCUUCAUUAAAAAUCUUGAAUACAAAUUUUACGACCACAAACGCUUUUUUUUCAAUUUUUUCACAAAACUCGUUAAAGCAAACCUAUAAAAGUGAAUAU